UGGGGAAUUGUUCACAAUGGGCGCAAGCCUGACGACGCAACGCCGCGUGGAGGAUGAAGACUUUCGGGUCGUAAACUCCUUUCGACCGAGAUGAAUUUCCCACGACCUAACACGUCGUGGGAGUGACAGUAUCGAGGGAAGAAGCCCCGGCUAACUCCGUGCCAGCAGCCGCGGUAAUACGGGGGGGGCAAGCGUUGUUCGGAAUUACUGGGCGUAAAGGGUGCGUAGGUGGUUAUUUAAGUCCGUUGUGAAAGCCCUGGGCUCAACCUGGGAACUGCAGUGGAUACUGGAUGACUAGAAUGUGGUAGAGGGUAGCGGAAUUCCUGGUGUAGCAGUGAAAUGCGUAGAGAUCAGGAGGAACAUCCAUGGCGAAGGCAGCUACCUGGACCAACAUUGACACUGAGGCACGAAAGCGUGGGGAGCAAAC
RNAcentral lists this ribosomal RNA (427 nucleotides) under uncultured bacterium. RNAcentral's name for it is "bacterial SSU rRNA". It matches the Rfam family "Bacterial small subunit ribosomal RNA", at positions 355 to 773 of the family's 1533-position model. The record is from RNAcentral.